GCAGGCUGNAACCCGCCUGCAUGAAGUUGGAAUUGCUAGUAAUCGCGGAUCAGCAUGCCGCGGUGAAUACGUUCCCUGGCCUUGUACACACCGCCCGUCACACCAUGGGAGCCGGUAAUACCCGAAGUCAGUAGCCUAACCGCAAGGGGGGCGCUGCCGAAGGUAGGAUUGGCGACUGGGGUGAAGUCGUAACAAGGUAUC
Molecule: ribosomal RNA, 201 nt
Filed under: uncultured bacterium
Lineage: Bacteria
Description: partial 16S ribosomal RNA
Rfam family: Bacterial small subunit ribosomal RNA
Source: RNAcentral